UAGGGAAUCUUCGGCAAUGGACGAAAGUCUGACCGAGCAACGCCGCGUAAGUGAAGAAGGUUUUCGGAUCGUAAAACUCUGUUGUUAGAGAAGAACAAGGGUGAGAGUAACUGUUCACCCCUUGACGGUAUCUAACCAGAAAGCCACGGCUAACUACGUGCUAG
Molecule: ribosomal RNA, 164 nt
Filed under: uncultured bacterium
Lineage: Bacteria
Description: partial 16S rRNA
Rfam family: Bacterial small subunit ribosomal RNA
Source: RNAcentral